GCUGAAGCAACAAAUGCCCUGCUUCCAGGAAAAGCCUCUAAGCAUCAGGUAACAUCAAAUCGUACCCCAAACCGACACAGGUGGUCAGGUAGAGAAUACCAAGGCGCUUGAGAGAACUCGGGUGAAGGAACUAGGCAAAAUGGUGCCGUAACUUCGGGAGAAGGCACGCUGACACGUAGGUGAAGUGGUUUACCCAUGGAGCUGAAGUCAGUCGAAGAUACCAGCUGGCUGCAACUGUUUAUUAAAAACACAGCACUGUGCAAACACGAAAGUGGACGUAUACGGUGUGACGCCUGCCCGGUGCCGGAAGGUUAAUUGAUGGGGUCAGCGCAAGCGAAGCUCCUGAUCGAAGCCCCGGUAAACGGCGGCCGUAACUAUAACGGUCCUAAGGUAGCGAAAUUCCUUGUCGGGUAAGUUCCGACCUGCACGAAUGGCGUAAUGAUGGCCAGGCUGUCUCCACCCGAGACUCAGUGAAAUUGAACUCGCUGUGAAGAUGCAGUGUACCCGCGGCAAGACGGAAAGACCCCGUGAACCUUUACUAUAGCUUGACACUGAACAUUGAGCCUUGAUGUGUAGGAUAGGUGGGAGGCUUUGAAGCGUGGACGCCAGUCUGCGUGGAGCCGACCUUGAAAUACCACCCUUUAAUGUUUGAUGUUCUAACGUGGACCCGUAAUCCGGGUUGCGGACAGUGUCUGGUGGGUAGUUUGACUGGGGCGGUCUCCUCCUAAAGAGUAACGGAGGAGCACGAAGGUUGGCUAAUCCUGGUCGGACAUCAGGAGGUUAGUGCAAUGGCAUAAGCCAGCUUGACUGCGAGCGUGACGGCGCGAGCAGGUGCGAAAGCAGGUCAUAGUGAUCCGGUGGUUCUGAAUGGAAGGGCCAUCGCUCAACGGAUAAAAGGUACUCCGGGGAUAACAGGCUGAUACCGCCCAAGAGUUCAUAUCGACGGCGGUGUUUGGCACCUCGAUGUCGGCUCAUCACAUCCUGGGGCUGAAGUAGGUCCCAAGGGUAUGGCUGUUCGCCAUUUAAAGUGGUACGCGAGCUGGGUUUAGAACGUCGUGAGACAGUUCGGUCCCUAUCUGCCGUGGGCGCUGGAGAACUGAGGGGGGCUGCUCCUAGUACGAGAGGACCGGAGUGGACGCAUCACUGGUGUUCGGGUUGUCAUGCCAAUGGCACUGCCCGGUAGCUAAAUGCGGAAGAGAUAAGUGCUGAAAGCAUCUAAGCACGAAACUUGCCCCGAGAUGAGUUCUCCCUGAGACUUUGAGUCUCCUGAAGGAACGUUGAAGACGACGACGUUGAUAGGCCGGGUGUGUAAGCGCAGCGAUGCGUUGAGCUAACCGGUACUAAUGAACCGUGAGGCUUAACCUUACAACGCCGAAGCUGUU
Molecule: ribosomal RNA, 1382 nt
Filed under: Salmonella enterica subsp. salamae
Lineage: Bacteria; Pseudomonadati; Pseudomonadota; Gammaproteobacteria; Enterobacterales; Enterobacteriaceae
Description: partial 23S ribosomal RNA
Rfam family: Bacterial large subunit ribosomal RNA
Source: RNAcentral